CCCCGCCCCCAACCUCCGCCUGGCCCCCGACAACCGCUCGGUGGCCGUGGCCGGCGCCGCCGCCGUCAACCGGGGCCUCUACACCUGCACGGCCACCAACAGGCACGGCCGGCGAGCCGGCAGCGUGGUGGUCCACGUGGACGAGAGUCGGUUGGCCCUGGUGGCCUCAUUGGGCUCCUUGGGGGCCGUGACAGCAGUGGGUUUGGUGGCCGCCGGGGGUUACUACCUGAAGACCACGGCGUGUAAGAAGGGGGAGUACAACGUGCGCGACGCCGAAGGGUCUUCCGAAGCCACCUGUCUCCACCGGCACCGCCACCCCGACGUCUUCGGCAUCCAGCUCACCCAGCCCUGAACUGGGAAGGGGUCCCCCUUUAUCCCCCAAACCCAACUGGAACAGAGGUUUUGGGGGAUCCUCAUCUCCCAAAUGCAACUGGGAUGGAGGUUUUGGGGAUCCCCAUCUCCCAAAUGCAACUGGGAUGGAGGUUUCAGGGGACCCCCCUAUUCCCCAAACCAACUGGGAUGGAGGUUUCUGGGGAUCCCCUCCAACCCUCUAUCUCCCAAACGCAACUGGGAUGGAGGUUUUGGGGGAUCCCCUCCAACCCUCCAUCUCCCAAACCCAACUGGGAUGGAGGUUUUGGGGAUCCCCCCCAUUCCCCAAACCAACUGGGAUGGAGGUUUCGGGGGAUCCCCUCCAACCCUCCAUCCCCUGACCCCAACUCCGAUGGAGGUUUUGGGGAUCCCCUCCAUCCCCUGAACCCAACUGGGAUGGAGGUUUUGGGGGAUCCCCCCAUUCCCCAAACCCAACUGGGAUGGAGGUUUUGGGGAAUCCUUCCCCCCAUCCCGGCCGCAGUGGGGGUUUUGGGGUUUUUUUAGGGGUGUUUUUUGGGUUUUUUUAAGUGUUUCGGUGCCGUGCCGGGGGCGGCGCGGCUGUAACUCAGGGGGGGGCGCUUGGGGAGGGGGGGUCACGGCCACCGGCUCUUCCCGAGGGACAAAGCAACGCCCAAAAAAUAAUAAAUUAAUCCGUUUUAAUGAGAGGNNNNNNNNN
This 1045-nucleotide long non-coding RNA is filed under the name Calidris pugnax (ruff). RNAcentral's name for it is "lncRNA (ENSCPUG00000018199.1)". Lineage: Eukaryota; Metazoa; Chordata; Aves; Charadriiformes; Scolopacidae. The record is from RNAcentral.